Molecule: long non-coding RNA, 2978 nt
Filed under: Zea mays
Lineage: Eukaryota; Viridiplantae; Streptophyta; Magnoliopsida; Poales; Poaceae
Description: long non-coding RNA (ZMAY_LNC005561)
Source: RNAcentral
AGAAUAGAAACGUAGCCAACGUAAAUAAACCCACCACAGGCAGCUGACUGGGGGUGGUCGCUAGCCUAAUCCUCGAACUCGUCGAAGUCCUGGAACUCCUGGAGAUCCGCCUCGACGCCUUCUUCUUUACUUGAGCAUAGAUUGCACCAAAGACAACCUGGUGUUUUGUGAAAGCAAGGGUGAGUACACAUCAACGUACUCAGCAAAUGUCCUGUUUGGCUGAAGUGGACUAGCUUUAUGUGGGGUUAAGCUCAAGCAGUUGCUUUUAGUUGGUCAGGUAUUUAUUAUCAGUGGAAGCCAAGUUUUAGUAAUAACCAACCCGUGAACCAUUUCCUCAUCGAGGAACAUCAUCAUCAUAGUCGAACCAAAACCAUAAACAUAAUCACUGUAUCUCAGAUCAUAUGUAUCUCUAAUCAAAGAGGAUCCCAAGGCCGCUCAUAACCGUGAGCACGACUGAUAUAUCAGUUUCUAAUCCUCUGCAGAGGUCGCACACUUUACCCACGACUCGUGAUUCCCGUUUUGCCCGGGGAACAUGACUCCCCAUUGACCACUUCCUAGGUGGCCCGGCAGGGUAUCACUACGUAGCCUUUACAAAGAUUCCCUAGAGGUCAUAGCCGCCCGUUAGGUUUCUCCAGUUUGAUAAACAUAGUACCUCUCCCCGCAAGAGGGUGACUAACAAAAGCAAAACGAAAGAACCUCGACACUCAGCCUCGGCAGAGCAAGCACUGUGCCUGGACCCCAUUGACGGCACGACGGCGAAGCAACUACACCUCUAGUUCCUCUAAUUAAUUAGCUAAGGGCAUCCCAUUUCACCCUCAUGGUUGCACUGUUAUCCCGGGUGGUCUCUCAACGAACAGGUCCUUACGGAGAGGUACUCGGGAAAUAGCCCGAGUCCCCUAAAGUGAUCACAAGAACCUCAUAGGGAUAACAUCAUCGUAUCAUAAUAUUCACAUCAUGUUCAUUGAUUAAAGUAAAGCAAUAGCGUGAAGCUAACCAUGAUAACCCAAAAGGUAAAAAAGGAUAAGGUAAAUAGAAAGCUAGUCAAUCCUUAGGUUUCAAUUAAGUAACGCGGGACAGUGAAUUAUAAGUAGAUAGGACAUAAUGGGUCAGAGGACACUUGCCUUCACCAAACAGAUGCUCAGGGUCUUCGAUCUCGUAGAACUCGAAGAGUUCGAUCACUUGGUCGCCAUGCUUGAUCGUCGAUUCCUCGAAGCUUAGAAACGAAUCGCGAUCUAAUCGCAACACGAAGCGAAGACGAACAGGCACAAGCAAACAAACAUAUACAUAUGCACAAGAACAUUACACCAUACAAUAUAAAACGUAAUAAAAUAUGCAAAACAAAAUAGAGUGCGUUAUUACGGUCACACGAGGAAAAGAAACAUAGAACUCGAAGCUGCGAUCAAGAAAUUAACGGGUAUACGCUAAACAAGUAUUAACUAUAACUUUUAGUUCAAUAUUAUCAAAUAUAAAUAUUACACGUCGUUUAAUUAGAUUAAUCUGCCACACUAAUAAAUGACAGUUUAAUUAAGUAACUUAAUUAAAACGAGAGAUUCUAAGCGAGGCGAAUUUACGACGCGUGAAACAGCACGACAGCGUGCGAACGACGCGCGGACACGCGCGACACAGCACGCGGUCGAGGCAUGAAACAGUGCGCGCGACUAGCACGAACGACGCGCGAAUCAGCACGCCACCACGUGCGAAACAACACGCACGACAAGCGAGAAAAUAAAAUAGGUGACAUAUUUGUACUAAACAACUAUUAAAUAAAUAAAAAAGUGGUUAACUUAAUAUUAGCCACGUUAUUGUUUAUUAUAAAAGCGCGAGUUGAACACUACAUAUUUAAUCUAAUUGGGAUAUUAAUCUAAUAAAUAUUAGUCGAGUAAAUCUUAAGUUAAUUAUCUAAAAUCUGUGAUCUAACAAAUUAAUGUUAUUAAUAUGAGUGUUUAUAAGCAAAAACAGUUUAUUAUCACACGCAGACGCCGCGCGACACAGAGAAAUAGAUGUUAUGUUUAUACUGAAUAAGUAUUAAUUCAAAAACGUUUGAGUUGACAUUAAUCAUAUCAACGUAUAUUUAUAAAGCGUAAAUUAAAACUAUGGAUUUGUUUAACGCUAUUUAAUAAAUCGUGUUUCUAGGGUGAUAUGGUGCAAUUUUAUUGGCUGGAGGAUGUCCACACCUAUGGCCACAAGAUCUUAGCAGCAGAAAAUCCAUGGAUGAUAUGGGGCAUUUUCUCUAUUGGAUGGAUCAUGGAUGCAUGCAGGGAUUAGUGGUGCACGUACGUGGGGCCUAUUCACUUGGCACAUGCACAUGGCAGUUUUGUUUCGUGGCCGCAUGCAGGGAAAACAAAUAAAUAAUAAAUAAACAAAAAAAAUAAAGACAUGGGCACUUCCUUCCUAACGCACGCCAUCGGAAGGCAUGCAGCAUGGGGCUCAUGCGGCUUCUUCUUCAUGGAAACAAGUCAACUACCGAGGGGUUCCAACUCCAAACCUGGACGCACGCACGGAAUCGACCAUGGGGGACAGAACGCGCAGGAGGGAGGAAACCUGCGCGCGGGCUGGCCGUGGAGCUGCUCGGGCAGCGUGGGGCUGCAGGGGAGAGAGCGGCUUGCAGGUGGCCAGGGUGGGCACCGGUGGCUCGCUGGCGGCGGCGCUCGUGGAGCAGCGACCACGUGACUUCUGGGAGAGUUCGGCCAGGGCCAGCCGUGGCAACAUCUAUGCAAGGAAGCAGCGAAUGGUAAACUGCGGAAGAAGAAGAGAGCUCACCGGAGGAUUUGCUCGAGGAUUGGCCCGAUGGCGGCAUGGCUGGAGCUUGCGGAGUGCGGCUGCUCGCCGGACCGGCUCAGACGUCGAAUUGCUUGGUCGUGGGGCUUGUUGUGCUCAUGCACAGGGGAUAUGGGGAGGGCAGUUAUGGGAGGCUCCAUGUCAUAGCCGGCUUGGGCGAACGAGGGAGUUCCGAGAGAGAAGGAGAUGAUAGAUGGGGC